Molecule: transfer RNA, 72 nt
Filed under: Marmota monax (woodchuck)
Lineage: Eukaryota; Metazoa; Chordata; Mammalia; Rodentia; Sciuridae
Description: tRNA.Thr
Source: RNAcentral
GCUGGGGGUAGCUCAGUAGUAGAGUGCAUGCCUAGUGUGUGAGAGGUCCUAGGUUCAAUCCCUAGUACUGCA